This 253-nucleotide ribosomal RNA is filed under the name uncultured bacterium. Its description in RNAcentral is "partial 16S ribosomal RNA". It matches the Rfam family "Bacterial small subunit ribosomal RNA", at positions 524 to 776 of the family's 1533-position model. The record is from RNAcentral.
UACGGAGGGGGCUAGCGUUGUUCGGAAUUACUGGGCGUAAAGGGCGUGUAGGCGGAUCGGCUAGUCAGAUGUGAAAGCCCCGGGCUCAACCUGGGAACUGCAUUUGAUACUACCGAUCUUGAGUCCGGGAGAGGGUAGUGGAAUUCCCAGUGUAGAGGUGAAAUUCGUAGAUAUUGGGAAGAACACCAGUGGCGAAGGCGGCUACCUGGACCGGUACUGACGCUGAGGCGCGAAAGCGUGGGGAGCAAACAGG